Molecule: ribosomal RNA, 253 nt
Filed under: uncultured bacterium
Lineage: Bacteria
Description: partial 16S ribosomal RNA
Rfam family: Bacterial small subunit ribosomal RNA
Source: RNAcentral
UACAGAGGAGCCAAGCGUUGUCCGGAUUGACUGGGCGUAAAGCGCACGCAGGCGGUUGCGCGCGGGGGGGGGGAAAUCUGGCCGCUUAACGGCCAGGCGCCAUCCCAUACGGCGCGACUGGAGUGAUGCAGAGGUCGAUGGAAUUGCCGGUGUAGUGGUGAAAUGCGUAGAGAUCGGCAGGAACACCCAGGGGGAAACCAGUCGACUGGGCAUCUACUGACGCUGAGGUGCGAGAGCGUGGGGAGCGAACCGG